GUUUGGUCCAAGUGCUAAGGUGUUUACAACUAAUUGAUCAUAACCAGUUACAGAUUGCUUUGUUCCUUCUCCACUACCACUGCUUCACUUGACUAGCUUUGA
RNAcentral lists this Y RNA (102 nucleotides) under Colobus angolensis palliatus. RNAcentral describes it as "Y RNA (ENSCANG00000007512.1)". It matches the Rfam family "Y RNA". Rfam says of the family: Y RNAs are components of the Ro ribonucleoprotein particle (Ro RNP), in association with Ro60 and La proteins. The Y RNAs and Ro60 and La proteins are well conserved, but the function of the Ro RNP is not known. Lineage: Eukaryota; Metazoa; Chordata; Mammalia; Primates; Cercopithecidae. The record is from RNAcentral.